This 412-nucleotide ribosomal RNA is filed under the name uncultured bacterium. RNAcentral describes it as "bacterial LSU rRNA". It matches the Rfam family "Bacterial large subunit ribosomal RNA", at positions 776 to 1181 of the family's 2925-position model. The record is from RNAcentral.
AACCGGUUAACGUUAGUAAAAGUUUUCGGAUGACUUGAGGGUAGGGGUAGAAAGGCUAAUCAAACUUGGAGAUAGCUCGUACUACCCCGAAAUGCAUUUUAGGUGCAGCGUGUAUAAAGUUUAUAACAGGUAGAGCGACUGAUUGGAUGCGAGGGCUUCACCGCCUAUCAAGUCCUGAUAAACUCCGAAUGGUUAUAAAUGAUUAUAUGCAGUGAGGGCGCGGGUGCUAAGGUCCGUGUCCGAGAGGAGAAUAAUCCAGACCAUCAGCUAAGGUCCCCAAAUAUACAUUAAGUUGCAUUAACGAAGUCGAACUGCCCAGACAGCUAGGAUGUUGGCUUGGAAGCAGCCAUUCAUUUAAAGAGUGCGUAACAGCUCACUAGUCGAGCGGUUUGGCGUGGAUAAUAAUCGGGCA